GCCGGUGUGGCGGAACUGGCAGACGCGACGGACUCAAAAUCCGUUGCCCGCAAGGGCGUGUGGGUUCGAUCCCCUCCACCGGCA
Molecule: transfer RNA, 84 nt
Filed under: bacterium
Lineage: Bacteria
Also listed under: 1 other name
Description: tRNA-Leu
Rfam family: tRNA
About the family: Transfer RNA (tRNA) molecules are approximately 80 nucleotides in length. Their secondary structure includes four short double-helical elements and three loops (D, anti-codon, and T loops). Further hydrogen bonds mediate the characteristic L-shaped molecular structure. tRNAs have two regions of fundamental functional importance: the anti-codon, which is responsible for specific mRNA codon recognition, and the 3' end, to which the tRNAs corresponding amino acid is attached (by aminoacyl-tRNA synthetases). tRNAs cope with the degeneracy of the genetic code in two manners: having more than one tRNA (with a specific anti-codon) for a particular amino acid; and 'wobble' base-pairing, i.e. permitting non-standard base-pairing at the 3rd anti-codon position.
Source: RNAcentral